CUGGGACUGAGACACGGCCCAGACUCCUACGGGAGGCAGCAGUAGGGAAUCUUCCGCAAUGGACGAAAGUCUGACGGAGCAACGCCGCGUGAGUGAUGAAGGUUUUCGGAUCGUAAAGCUCUGUUGUUAGGGAAGAACAAGUACCGUUCGAAUAGGGCGGUACCUUGACGGUACCUAACCAGAAAGCCACGGCUAACUACGUGCCAGCAGCCGCGGUAAUACGUAGGUGGCAAGCGUUGUCCGGAAUUAUUGGGCGUAAAGGGCUCGCAGGCGGUUUCUUAAGUCUGAUGUGAAAGCCCCCGGCUCAACCGGGGAGGGUCAUUGGAAACUGGGGAACUUGAGUGCAGAAGAGGAGAGUGGAAUUCCACGUGUAGCGGUGAAAUGCGUAGAGAUGUGGAGGAACACCAGUGGCGAAGGCGACUCUCUGGUCUGUAACUGACGCUGAGGAGCGAAAGCGUGGGGAGCGAACAAGGAUUAGAUACCCCUGGUAGUCCACGCCCGUAAACGAUGAGUGCUAAGUGUUUAGGGGGUUUCCGCCCCCUUAGUGCUGCCAGCUAACGCAUUAAGCACUACCGCCCUGGGGAGUACGGUCGCAAGACUGAAACUCAAAGGAAUUG
This 617-nucleotide ribosomal RNA is filed under the name Bacillus subtilis. Its description in RNAcentral is "bacterial SSU rRNA". It matches the Rfam family "Bacterial small subunit ribosomal RNA", at positions 313 to 912 of the family's 1533-position model. The record is from RNAcentral. Lineage: Bacteria; Bacillati; Bacillota; Bacilli; Caryophanales; Bacillaceae.